RNAcentral lists this ribosomal RNA (372 nucleotides) under Halichoeres hortulanus (checkerboard wrasse). Its description in RNAcentral is "partial 12S ribosomal RNA". It matches the Rfam family "Bacterial small subunit ribosomal RNA", at positions 968 to 1533 of the family's 1533-position model. Lineage: Eukaryota; Metazoa; Chordata; Actinopteri; Labriformes; Labridae. The record is from RNAcentral.
ACCUUACCUUUCCUUGCCUUAUCCGCCUAUAUACCACCGUCGUCAGCCUACUCUUUGAGGACCUCACAGUAUGCAAAAUUGGUUGUACCCCAAAACGCCAGGUCGAGGUGUAGCGAAUGGAAAGGGAUAGCAAUGGGCUACAUUCAAUAACCUAUAAUGAAAACGAACGCCAUUCUGAAAAAGAUGGCCGAAGGAGGAUUUAGCAGUAAGCAGAGAACAGAGCGCUCUCCUGAAGCUGGCACUGAAGCGCGUACACACCGCCCGUCACUCUCCCCAAGCUAGGCUACAUAUAUCACUAAUAAAUGAACAAUCGCGGAGGGGAGGCAAGUCGUAACAUGGUAAGUGUACCGGAAGGUGCGCUUGGCAAUAUUU